CCUACGGGAGGCAGCAGUGAGGAAUAUUGGUCAAUGGGCGCGAGCCUGAACCAGCCAAGUCGCGUGAGGGAAGACGGUCCUAUGGAUUGUAAACCUCUUUUGUCGGGGAGCAAAAGACGCCACGCGUGGCGUUCCGAGAGUACCCGAAGAAAAAGCAUCGGCUAACUCCGUGCCAGCAGCCGCGGUAAUACGGAGGAUGCGAGCGUUAUCCGGAUUUAUUGGGUUUAAAGGGUGCGCAGGCGGAAGAUCAAGUCAGCGGUAAAAUUGAGAGGCUCAACCUCUUCGAGCCGUUGAAACGGGGUUUCUUGAGGGAGUGAAGGGUAGGCGGAAGGCGGGGGGGAGCGGGGAAAUGCAGAGA
Molecule: ribosomal RNA, 358 nt
Filed under: uncultured bacterium
Lineage: Bacteria
Description: partial 16S ribosomal RNA
Rfam family: Bacterial small subunit ribosomal RNA
Source: RNAcentral